AUGGUUUCAAGGUCGUGCCAGCUACGCUCUUACCAAAGAAGAGAAGGUCAUUUUUUUUUUGAAUGCCUGAGCAGUAUGAAGGUCCCGUCUGGCUUCUCGUCGAAUAUAAAGGGAAUAAUAAACAUGGCGGAGAAAAAGUUCCAAAACCUGAAGUCUCACGACUGCCACGUGAUUAUGACGCAAUUGCUUCCGAUUGCUUUGAGGGGGCUCCUACCGGAAAAAGUUCGAGUAGCCAUUGUGAAGCUAUGUGCAUUCCUCAAUGCAAUCUCUCAGAAGGUAAUCAAUCCAGAAGAUCUACCACGGUUACAGAAUGAUGUGGUCCAAUGCCUUGUCAGUUUCGAGUUGGUGUUCCCACCAUCCUUCUUCGAUAUUAUGACGCACCUCCUGCUCCACCUAGUCGAAGAGAUUUCCAUUCUCGGUCCUAUAUUUCUACACAAUAUGUUCCCCUUUGAGAGGUUCAUGGGAGUAUUAAAGAAAUAUGUUCGUAACCGUGCUAGGCCAGAAGGAAGCAUCGUCAAGGGCUAUGGAAAUGAGGAGAUGAAGCAAUUUCUUUGUGAUUUGUUCAAGCAAGAGGUGAAGAGGGGUUUGCCCUUUGCGUGCGUUCCAUUGUGGGCAUGUAAUGUGUCGUUCUGGAGAUCAGGCGGAUGCUGGCCCCUGAUUUUCUGGAGGGGUUUGUUGUCCAGGACGAACCGGGUCAAAUGUUUAGCCCAACUCGUUUAG
RNAcentral lists this ribosomal RNA (720 nucleotides) under Triticum aestivum (bread wheat). RNAcentral describes it as "partial small subunit ribosomal RNA". Lineage: Eukaryota; Viridiplantae; Streptophyta; Magnoliopsida; Poales; Poaceae. The record is from RNAcentral.